GGGUCGCUAGCUCAACGGCAGAGCAACGGCCUCUUAAGCCGCAGGUUGUGGGUUCGAAUCCCACGCGACCCA
RNAcentral lists this transfer RNA (72 nucleotides) under Acidimicrobiia bacterium. RNAcentral's name for it is "tRNA-Lys". It matches the Rfam family "tRNA". From Rfam's summary of the family: Transfer RNA (tRNA) molecules are approximately 80 nucleotides in length. Their secondary structure includes four short double-helical elements and three loops (D, anti-codon, and T loops). Lineage: Bacteria; Bacillati; Actinomycetota; Acidimicrobiia. The record is from RNAcentral.